This 253-nucleotide ribosomal RNA is filed under the name uncultured bacterium. RNAcentral describes it as "partial 16S ribosomal RNA". It matches the Rfam family "Bacterial small subunit ribosomal RNA", at positions 524 to 776 of the family's 1533-position model. The record is from RNAcentral.
UACGAAGGGGGCUAGCGUUGUUCGGAAUUACUGGGCGUAAAGAGUACGUAGGCGGUGAUUCAAGUCAGAGGUGAAAGCCUGGAGCUCAACUCCAGAACUGCCUUUGAAACUAGAUCGCUAGAAUUGUGGAGAGGUUAGUGGAAUUCCGAGUGUAGAGGUGAAAUUCGUAGAUAUUCGGAAGAACACCAGUGGCGAAGGCGACUAACUGGACACAUAUUGACGCUGAGGUACGAAAGCGUGGGGAGCAAACAGG